This is a regulatory RNA element of Turicibacter sp. H121, 76 nucleotides long. The record is from Rfam. NCBI's taxonomy places the organism in Bacteria, Bacillati, Bacillota, Erysipelotrichia, Erysipelotrichales, Turicibacteraceae.
AGGGUACUACAACCGCGCGGAUAAGGUCAAAAUAUGUCUUUGGCAUAUACCUUUAAUGGCGAGUCUUAGUUAAAUU